RNAcentral lists this ribosomal RNA (492 nucleotides) under uncultured bacterium. RNAcentral's name for it is "partial 16S ribosomal RNA". It matches the Rfam family "Bacterial small subunit ribosomal RNA", at positions 29 to 507 of the family's 1533-position model. The record is from RNAcentral.
AGUGAACGCUGGCGGUAGGCCUAACACAUGCAAGUCGAACGGCAGCACAGUAAGAGCUUGCUCUUACGGGUGGUGAGUGGCGGACGGGUGAGGAAUACAUCGGAAUCUACUUUUUCGUGGGGGAUAACGUAGGGAAACUUACGCUAAUACCGCAUACGACCUACGGGUGGAAGCAGGGGAUCUUCGGACCUUGCGCGAUUGAAUGAGCCGAUGUCGGAUUAGCUAGUUGGCGGGGUAAAGGCCCACCAAGGCGACGAUCCGUAGCUGGUCUGAGAGGAUGAUCAGCCACACUGGAACUGAGACACGGUCCAGACUCCUACGGGAGGCAGCAGUGGGGAAUAUUGGACAAUGGGCGCAAGCCUGAUCCAGCCAUACCGCGUGGGUGAAGAAGGCCUUCGGGUUGUAAAGCCCUUUUGUUGGGAAAGAAAAGCAGCAGGUUAAUACCCCGCUGUUCUGACGGUACCCAAAGAAUAAGCACCGGCUAACUUCGUG